RNAcentral lists this ribosomal RNA (768 nucleotides) under uncultured archaeon. RNAcentral describes it as "bacterial SSU rRNA". It matches the Rfam family "Archaeal small subunit ribosomal RNA", at positions 108 to 878 of the family's 1478-position model. The record is from RNAcentral.
CCUACCCUCAGAUCUGGGAUAACUCCGGGAAACUGGAGAUAAUACCGGAUAAUCCGUGAACGCUGGAAUGCCUUACGGUUCAAAGCUUUAGCGUCUGAGGAUGGGUCUGCGGCCGAUUAGGUAGUUGCUGGGGUAACGUCCCAACAAGCCGAUAAUCGGUACGGGUUGUGAGAGCAAGAGCCCGGAGAUGGAUUCUGAGACACGAAUCCAGGUCCUACGGGGCGCAGCAGGCGCGAAAACUUUACACUGCGCGAAAGCGCGAUAAGGGGACCUCGAGUGCGUGCGCAAUGCGUACGCUUUUCAUAUGCCUAAAAAGCAUGUGGAAUAAGGGCCGGGCAAGACCGGUGCCAGCCGCCGCGGUAACACCGGCGGCUCGAGUGGUGGCCGCUAUUAUUGGGCUUAAAGGGUCCGUAGCCGGACCAGUUAGUCCCUUGGGAAAUCUUACGGCUUAACCGUAAGGCUGCCAAUGGAUACUGCUGGUCUUGGGACCGGGAGAGGCAAGAGGUACCUCAGGGGUAGGAGUGAAAUCCUGUAAUCCUUGAGGGACCGCCAGUGGCGAAGGCGUCUUGCUAGAACGGGUCCGACGGUGAGGGACGAAAGCUAGGGGCACGAACCGGAUUAGAUACCCGGGUAGUCCUAGCCGUAAACGAUGCGAGCUAGGUGUCACGUGGAUUGCGAAUCCAUGUGGUGCCGUAGGGAAACCGUGAAGCUCGCCGCCUGGGAAGUACGGCCGCAAGGCUGAAACUUAAAGGAAUUGGCGGGGGAGCA